Molecule: ribosomal RNA, 440 nt
Filed under: uncultured bacterium
Lineage: Bacteria
Description: partial 16S ribosomal RNA
Rfam family: Bacterial small subunit ribosomal RNA
Source: RNAcentral
CCUACGGGAGGCAGCAGUGGGGAAUAUUGCACAAUGGGGGAAACCCUGAUGCAGCGACGCCGCGUGAGUGAAGAAGUAAUUCGUUAUGUAAAGCUCUAUCAGCAGGGAAGAAAAUGACGGUACCUGAGUAAGAAGCCCCGGCUAACUACGUGCCAGCAGCCGCGGUAAUACGUAGGGGGCAAGCGUUAUCCGGAUUUACUGGGUGGAAAGGGAGCGUAGACGGCAGUGCAAGUCUGGAGUGAAAGGCGGGGGCUCAACCCCCGGACUGCUCUGGAAACUGUACGGCUGGAGUGCAGGAGAGGUAAGUGGAAUUCCUAGUGUAGCGGUGAAAUGCGUAGAUAUUAGGAGGAACACCAGUGGCGAAGGCGGCUUACUGGACUGUAACUGAUGUUGAGGCUCGAAAGCGUGGGGAGCAAACAGGAUUAGAUACCCCUGUAGUC